RNAcentral lists this ribosomal RNA (256 nucleotides) under uncultured bacterium. RNAcentral's name for it is "partial 16S ribosomal RNA". It matches the Rfam family "Bacterial small subunit ribosomal RNA", at positions 524 to 776 of the family's 1533-position model. The record is from RNAcentral.
UACGUAGGGUGCGAGCGUUAAUCGGAAUUACUGGGCGUAAAGCGUGCGCAGGCGGCGCGUUAAGACAGGUGUGAAAGCCCCCGAGCUUAACUUGGGGAAUUUGCGCUUGUGACUGGCGUGCUGGAGUGUGGCAGAGGGAGGUGGAAUUCCACGUGUAGCAGUGAAAUGCGCAGAUAUCAGGAGGAACACCGGUGGCGAAGGCGGGUCUCUGGGCCGUAACUGGACGCUGAGGAGCGAAAGCUGGGGAGCAAACGGG